This 70-nucleotide transfer RNA is filed under the name Sciurus aestuans (Guianan squirrel). RNAcentral's name for it is "Guerlinguetus aestuans (Guianan squirrel) tRNA-Ala". It matches the Rfam family "tRNA". From Rfam's summary of the family: Transfer RNA (tRNA) molecules are approximately 80 nucleotides in length. The record is from RNAcentral. Lineage: Eukaryota; Metazoa; Chordata; Mammalia; Rodentia; Sciuridae.
AAAGGGCUUAGCUUAAUUAAAGCAAUUGAGUUGCAUUCAGUUGAUGCAGGAUAGAGUCUUGUAGUCCUUA